GCAUAUCAAUAAGCGGAGGAAAAGAAACUAACAAGGAUUCCCCUAGUAACUGCGAAGUGAAGCGGGAAAAGCUCAAAUUUAAAAUCUGGCGGUCCUUGUGGCCGUCCGAGUUGUAAUCUAGAGAAGUGUUAUCCGCGCUGGACCGUGUACAAGUCUCCUGGAAUGGAGCGUCAUAGAGGGUGAGAAUCCCGUCUUUGACACGGACUACCAGGGCUUUGUGAUGCGCUCUCAAAGAGUCGAGUUGUUUGGGAAUGCAGCUCAAAAUGGGUGGUAAAUUCCAUCUAAAGCUAAAUAUUGGCGAGAGACCGAUAGCGAACAAGUACCGUGAGGGAAAGAUGAAAAGAACUUUGGAAAGAGAGUUAAACAGUACGUGAAAUUGUUGAAAGGGAAACGCUUGAAGUCAGUCGCGUUGGUCAGAAAUCAACCUUGCUUUUUUGUGGGGUGUACUUUCUGGUUGACGGGUCAGCAUCAAUUUUGACCGUUGGAAAAAAGUUGGGGGAAUGUGGCAUCUUCGGAUGUGUUAUAGCCCCUGAUUGUAUACAACGGUUGGGAUUGAGGAACUCAGCAUGCCGCAAGGACGGGUUUUAACCACGUAACAUGCUUAGGAUGCUGGCAAAAUGGCUUUAAUCGACCCGUCUUGAAACACGGACCAAGGAGUCUAACAUGCCUGCGAGUGUUUGGGUGGUAAACCCGAGCGCACAAUGAAAGUGAAAGUUGAGAUCUCUGUCGUGGAGAGCAUCGACGCCCGGACCAGACCUUUUGUGACGGUCCCGCGGUAGAGCAUGUAUGUUGGGACCCGAAAGAUGGUGAACUAUGCCUGAAUAGGGUGAAGCCAGAGGAAACUCUGGUGGAGGCUUCGUAGCGAUUCUGACGUGCAAAUCGAUUCGUCGAAAUUUGGGUAUAGGGGGCGAAAGAC
Molecule: ribosomal RNA, 916 nt
Filed under: Omphalina rivulicola
Lineage: Eukaryota; Fungi; Basidiomycota; Agaricomycetes; Agaricales; Omphalinaceae
Description: LSU rRNA
Rfam family: Eukaryotic large subunit ribosomal RNA
Source: RNAcentral